Polypterus senegalus (gray bichir) is the source of this 663-nucleotide long non-coding RNA. RefSeq lists it as uncharacterized. Lineage: Eukaryota; Metazoa; Chordata; Cladistia; Polypteriformes; Polypteridae. The transcript has 3 exons. The record is from RefSeq and is a predicted model, not a curated record.
GGCAGAGAAUGGUGGUCUUAAAAAUGAGGGUUUUGUGUGCUUGUGCUCUAACUGAUUUAUUAAAUGGCAAUUAUUUCUGCUUCCAGCAAUUCCAGACAAGAUAGGAAAGAGCAAGGACUUUCUCCCCCACCCUUCUUCUCCAUUACUAAAGAAUAUGAAAAUGUUGACUGAAUUAUUUAUGCCAGUGCAAUCAUAUUUAGCAUAUUUAUGGUUACAUUUAGUUGUUAGCAAAUUGUACCUCACAAAGGCACAGCCAGUCCUGUCAGGUAUGUAGUGAAAUGACUCUUAUGGCACAGCCAAUGCCUUAAAGGUGAUGACUUUCUUUUUCCUUUUCAAUAUCAUUCAGAAAUCAACCAGUCUAGAAUGGAGUGAUUGUUUGCUUCAGGCAGUAGAGACAAAAAGCGAGAGAAAUCAAUUGAGCUGAGCAUUCCUACGACAUGCUGUGAUCAUAUUGUCUUCAUUGAUCCAAAACAUCCUGGCUGCUUGUGACUGGCUGGAUGCCAACAAAGACCAACUUGUUGGGACAGAAUUCUGGAAAUGGACGAGGAUGAAGUUACAAACACAAUUGAAAAAUUAGAACAAAGGGGAGACGAUGAUGAGACUGAAGUAGUCAUGUCCACCUUCUUAUUUACUUUUGAAUGCCUGAAAGACAUGAACUUUUUU